CAGGAUUUGGAGGAAAGAAACCUGGCCCAGUGACCUUGGGUAGGCCCGCCCUCUCUGUUAACUUCAGUUUUUCCAGGUAUCAAAUGGGAAUGUUGAUCCCAUCCUUACCAACUUCUACAGUGACUGACGGGAUCCAAGGAGGAUACAAACAGGAAGGAGCUUUGCUGUUCCCUGAGUUUUAUUGUACUGUAUCACCCUUCUUCUUAUGAUGAUGUGAGAUGUUAAAGUGCCUGCUUGAUGAGGUGAAGUGAGGCUCCAUGACCUCCCUGGACUUCAGUUUCCAAAUCUGCUGAUGGAGGAUGAUGUUUUCAGUGCCUACAUAGCUCCCAAAGUGAAGAUGAUAUGGAAACUGGGUGGUGUCCAGGCCGGUCACACAGAGCCAAGAAGGAGGAAUGCUUGCCCUGCUUCUGCCAUGGUCUUCAUAGUGAGAGACAGGCAGCUACGCCCCUGAAUUCUCCAGGACCUGCCAAGUUGGGCCAUUUCAGAGAGGAGAAACUGAGACUCAGAGCUAUGUAAUCAGCAUGCUGGAGCACAGAAAGCAGAGACAGGCAGAAGGCAAGAGUUCAGAGGUGGGAAAGGAAUCCUGGCCCACCCAGAUUGGCAAAGCCAUUGCAAACCCAUGGUUCUGGGGUUUUCCUGUUGGCUUACAAAGUGAUAUCAAGGCAGGGGCAUUGUUUUCCCUGGUCUCUGCCAUUGAUAAGACAGAGAAAAACAGCUCCCACGAUAACAUUGAUGCUGCCAGCCCUUCCUGCCACUGGCUUUCCUGGUUGGAGUCCUCUCCUAUGCUUCUUCCUGUCUCUCCUUCCGGACUGAGAUUCAAGCCGAGAUGCCUUGUGGGGCCAAGGAGCCAGCGGUGAGGUUCCCUCCUUCAGUUGCUUCAGCAGGCACAUAGCUCUUUCUGAUCUUGGACAAAGCCCAAAAGGCUCUGAGGCAGUGGUGUGCUGGGGCAGGCUCAUACUGGCUCACUAGAGCCAAUUGCUAAAUUUCGGGGAAUCUUGUAAACCAAUUG
Long non-coding RNA from Cercocebus atys (sooty mangabey), 1009 nucleotides. RefSeq lists it as uncharacterized. NCBI's taxonomy places the organism in Eukaryota, Metazoa, Chordata, Mammalia, Primates, Cercopithecidae. The transcript has 3 exons. The record is from RefSeq and is a predicted model, not a curated record.